AUACGUAGGGGGCGAGCGUUGUCCGGAAUGACUGGGCGUAAAGGGUACGUAGGCGGCCAGGUAAGUCAGAUGUGAAAGGCAUAGGCUCAACCUGUGUAAGCAUUUGAAACUGUCUGGCUUGAGUUAAGGAGAGGAAAGUGGAAUUCCUGGUGUAGCGGUGAAAUGCGUAGAUAUCAGGAGGAAUACCAGUGGCGAAGGCGACUUUCUGGACUUAAACUGACGCUGAGGUACGAAAGCGUGGGGAGCAAACAGGAUUAGAUACCCUGGUAGUCCACGCCGUAAACGAUGAGUGCUAGGUGUCGGGGGUCGAACCUCGGUGCCGGAGCUAACGCAUUAAGCACUCCGCCUGGGGAGUACGUUCGCAAGAAUGAA
RNAcentral lists this ribosomal RNA (372 nucleotides) under uncultured bacterium. RNAcentral's name for it is "bacterial SSU rRNA". It matches the Rfam family "Bacterial small subunit ribosomal RNA", at positions 523 to 898 of the family's 1533-position model. The record is from RNAcentral.